Acanthaster planci (crown-of-thorns starfish) is the source of this 3292-nucleotide long non-coding RNA. Lineage: Eukaryota; Metazoa; Echinodermata; Asteroidea; Valvatida; Acanthasteridae. The record is from RefSeq and is a predicted model, not a curated record.
UGACUGCUGCUGUGCCCCUCAGCGAGGUCUGCGCUGUUUUGUUAAAGGGUUUUAGCAGUUGGUCGAGGUCACAUGUGUCUGCAAAUUGGGCCAACGUUGAUCAAUCUAUAAAUGUAGGCGUAGGUGUCAAGAAUGAAAAAGAAAUAGGUUAGGGUUCCUCCAUCUUUACUGAUAACCACUCCAAAGGAAGGAAAAAAUUUCAAGAAAAGAAUCCCCCACUGCGUUUCCAUCCUUGCUUCCUCAGAAUGGACAGUUGACUAGAUGCAUGCAAAUGUUCAAGUGUUUUAGAGGUGGUAGUGGAGCGGAUGCUAAACUUCACACUGUUCCCGUGGGAAUAAUCCAAUGGAAUGCAGAAAUUCCUCGGACUUUUGAGAUGCUCCCUGAUUUCACAGCGGAGACUCAGGCUGCGUUUGUUUUACACAGAUCAGAAUCACGAUCAGUGAUCCGUCGUUCGUGUACAGACAUCAAAACCUGCAUACGUAUAGUGGAUGGUGGGAACCGGGUUGGGAUCACUGAAUGAGAUCCAGAUCCGUGUGGAACAAACAGGCCCUCACAGAAAUGUGUUCAUAAGUACCUCAGACAGUUUCUCUAUCCCUAUUGGUUGAGAGCCUGUCAUGUGGCUGGUUUUGAUAAAGGUACCAACUGGUUUUGAUAAAGGUACCAACUGGUUUUGAUAAAGGUACCAACUGGUUUUUAAACACUUUCCCAGUUUCAUAUAAAAGUUGGAUUCCUAUGUUAUGGAGUCAAGUCUCUCCUACAUGACAAACAUCAUCGUUAGGUAGACAUGCUCAGUAUAAUCCAGUGAGUCUGCAUUUCAUGGAGUAGGAAUUUUAGUCCAUGCUUCCUCAACUACGCUCUGCUUCACAUCAUGCAGCACACACCGAGCAUGGUAAUUUCCGUAACGGGAGACUGUUGUUGUGCAUCUGCGAUUCGCAUACUAUAGAUAUGGCUCAAGGGUUGUUAUACAAAACAUAACACAAGACUGGUGAAAAUUUCUGUUGAGAAAGAUAUGUAUGCAUUUUCGAUUGAUGUUUACUUUUUUCACACAAAAAGGUAUUUUCAGAGGUCCAUUAUCAUCUAAGGCCCCAUCCAGUUUUAAGCAGGCUGUUCCAAAAUUCUCCCUUCACAUGGUUUCUCCAUAAUAUUUCUCCAUAAAUAUUUGUGCAUUUUCCUGUGCAUUGAGGAGCUCUAUACUGAAGAGACCUCCUUGAAAAAUUGAUGAUAAUGCUCUAGAGGAGAUUGAAAAUUUCAAGUAAUUAGUUGCCACGGAAACCAGAUAUACCCAGCUGCCUAAUGAGCAGUGGUUCCGUUGGCGGAGUUGGCUCUAGCCGUCUCCAGCACCCAACCAGUGGGCUCAUUAAUUCAGCACAGUUGAGUCAGUGGUCAAAGCUGGUCCAACAUGAGUCUCCUUUCUCACCAUUUGGUUGAGGGUGCUAAGAAGGGGAUUGGAGUAACGUGAUAAAGUCCACGUAUUAAUCAAAAUUGUUUGAUCUAAGUUGGGAUAGAUCUUAAUGAAUUAAAUGCUGUAUUUUUAUGCAAAACUUUUUGGAAGAUCAAAAAACCAAGUAUAAUAAUCAAAUAUCCUAUGCUGUGACAAAAUCAAAUUGACAUAUACGUCAAAGUUGAGAAGAUUUAAGCAUUUUGAAAGCCAAAACAAAAUACCCUCUCUGAUCCCGAAUUUUUAAUUGAUUUGAAAUGACAACUUCCAUUAAAUGUACAUGAGAUCUACAGGUCCGGUCGUCUUUUUAAAGAACAUCAUUCUGUACAAUUAAGCACUGUACCCCAAAAAAGGCUUUCGUCACCGAACCACAUUUCUAUUAAAAAGGCCCAUGAAAACCGUUUUCAAUGAAUUUAUGGAAUACAAAUGAGGAUAUUCAUACAUGUUUUGAAUGGAUGAAAACAGCAGGAGAUCCUUUUGACCAGCAUUUGUCAACCAGCCUCCCCUCCCCACAAUGUGCAUCCUUAAUGGGUAGAAAUUGGAAACAGCCAGAGUAUGGGAACAAUGCAGACCAGGCCUGGAGAUGAUGUUGGAUUUUCAGCACGGCACAUGAGCCAUCAAUCUUAAUGCCAGACGACAUCAAGUCCAGGUUCUCUCGGGAUGUUCCAACAGUCAAACCCGGUUUUUGCCAUCCCACAGGGAUGCUUUUAACGAUCCGUGUGAAUGACGUGAAUGUCAUCAAGCAGUCAUGUGUAUCUAUGGUGUGCUUGUGUAGGUGCAUGGAAUAACUGCAGGAAAGUACCAGGAAAUACCCCUCGGUUUGUCUUUUUCCCCUUCUUAUUACGGUUGGCUUUUGGAAAAGAAGGCUUCUUCGCUGCACGAUAGUGUGUGCUACAUAAGUAUAACCCUAACCACUGUGCACAUUUAUCGGUUAUCUGCUCUAAAUCAACGGAGCCCAACUAAGUUCACUGUUACUAAGUCCAACAGAUUUAGAAUUGGACCCGUUGGAUUAUGCAAGAAACGUUAGAUCCUUUUGGAUUCAGUAUGACUUGGGUUUAUGAAUUAACCAUAUCAUUUGGCAGUGUUGUAGUCAAGUACUUUUCAAGUACCAAGUUUUCUGCCUAAUAUUUAACUAGUUAGGAGGGAACAAAGCUGAAGCACAUGGACAUUUGAUGAUACUUGAACAAAGGUAAGAUUACAAAGUAGAAUGAGUUUAAACCAUCACUUUUGAGUAAAAUUUGAGUUUUAGGACAACAGUACUUGAAAAGUACUCGACCGAGUACAGUGUACUUUCAAGUACUUUUCUCCUUGAAACUUAAAUUUUACAAAACUGGGGGUGAUUGAAGUCCUACAUGUACAUUUCAUUUGUAAUCUUACCUUUGAGCAUUUACCAUCGAAUGCCUUCGGAAAGUACUCCAGCUUUAUUCCCUCUUACCCAGUUCAAUAUUUGACAGAGAACCUUGGUACUUGAAAAGUACUUGACUACAACACUGUCAUUUGGGUGCCAAAUCAAGUCGCUCUUUACUCCUUGAUAUCAUGUACACUGUGAGCACGGUAGCAGCAGCCUGAGCGCCUGGGGCCUCAACCUCGGCUUGACAUGGGUAAAAUCUUCAAGUAACUGGUUACAGUCCAACACCUGGGGUUGUGAUGUGUAUUUUGUCCUCUGCCAAGCUACCUCCAUGUAAUUCAGUUUGCAUCUCUCCACUCUGAAGUGAUUUCGUUUGGGUCAGGUGGUUGUACCAAAAUAGCAAUAUUGUACUGUAUACCUGUACUUCCUCAAUAGUAAGGACACGCAAUGGUAACAGUAACAAGAAACACUAUAAAGAAAUAAAUUGUUAUUAUUAUUAAAUGUAA